RNAcentral lists this ribosomal RNA (254 nucleotides) under uncultured bacterium. RNAcentral's name for it is "partial 16S ribosomal RNA". It matches the Rfam family "Bacterial small subunit ribosomal RNA", at positions 524 to 776 of the family's 1533-position model. The record is from RNAcentral.
UACGUAGGGCGCGAGCGUUGUCCGGAAUUAUUGGGCGUAAAGAGCUCGUAGGCGGCCUGUUGCGUCAAUCGUGAAAUCCUGUGGCUCAACUACAGGCUUGCGGUUGAUACGGGUGGGCUGGAGUUCGGUAGGGGAGACUGGAAUUCCUGGUGUAGCGGUGAAAUGCGCAGAUAUCAGGAGGAACACCAAUGGCGAAGGCAGCUCGCUGGGACGUGACUGACGCUGAGACGCGAAAGCGUGGGGGAGCAAACAGG